GUCGGAUUGGCUGAGUGGUCAAAGGCGCAGGGCUUAAACUCCUGUUCAUAAUGAUUCGCAGGUUCAAAUCCUGCAUCCGACA
RNAcentral lists this transfer RNA (82 nucleotides) under Methanobacteriota archaeon. RNAcentral describes it as "Euryarchaeota archaeon tRNA-Leu". It matches the Rfam family "tRNA". From Rfam's summary of the family: Transfer RNA (tRNA) molecules are approximately 80 nucleotides in length. Their secondary structure includes four short double-helical elements and three loops (D, anti-codon, and T loops). Lineage: Archaea; Methanobacteriati; Methanobacteriota. The record is from RNAcentral.